Molecule: long non-coding RNA, 2139 nt
Organism: Zea mays
Lineage: Eukaryota; Viridiplantae; Streptophyta; Magnoliopsida; Poales; Poaceae
Exons: 3
Source: RefSeq, a predicted model, not a curated record
GUAGAUGCCACACUUUCGGCAUCGCCUCUUUCGCCGUGGUGUGCCCUCGGAGGUCAACUUGACCGGACCUGAUGCACCACCCUUAGAGCGCGACGCCAACUUGUUCUUGGUGAAUCUUCCAGUGAAAACACCACCUCUCUCCUUCGGAUUGGAGCAUAGUCGAUGCUUGUUCUUCUCAAGCCAGUCCUCCUCGGCGAGGAGUCAGCAUGUCUUGUCAGUGACCUGGUCAACCUUGUUGUCGAUCCGAUCCUCCGUCGCACGCAGAUGUCCCACCAGCUCAUCAACAGUGAGUUCCUUCAAAUUAUAGAACAUUUCAAUGGUAAUCACUACCUGAGUGAAACACGUUGGGACCACGCGCAAGAAUUUCUUGACGACGCGAAUAUCUUCCACCACUUCGCUGAGGGCUCGAAGAUUUUCGACAAGGUUGCUGAUGUGCAUGCCGAAAUCCUCGACGGACUCGCCGUCCUUGAACUUUAUGUUCUCAAAUUCUUGGAGAAGCUUCUGUGCAUUCACCUCCUUCACUUGAUCGGCACCCAGACGCAUCAUCUUCACGGCAUCCCAGGCUUGCUUCACAGUGUUGCGCGCACCAAGCGAUUGCCAGACAAGUGGACUUGAAUCAUGGGAUUUGGUUUGUCCGGUAUGCAUCUAUUAGGGUCAAGUAAUAAUGAUCUGGCACAUGCAGGCCCACUAAGAGGACAAAGGAACAUGGUGCUUGAAGCUAUAAUUGUCUGUCCAAUUUUUCAGAUAAUUGUUAUAUUCAUAUCACUAUGAUCUCUGAUAGGAUAGUUUCUUUGGUUCAUCUUUUUUUAACAUAUUAGGGUCAAGUAAUAAUGAUCUAGCACAUGCAGGCCCACUAAGAGGACAAAGGAACAUGGUGCUUGAAGCUGUAAUUGUCUGUCCAGAUUUUCAGAUAAUUGCUAUAUUUAUAUCACUAUGAUCUCUGAUAGGAUAGUUUCUUUGGUUCAUCUUUUUUUACAUAUUAGGGUCAAGUAAUAAUGAUCUGGCACAUGCAGGCCCACUAAGAGGACAAUGGAACAUAGUGUUUGAAGCUGUAAUUGUCUGUCCAAUUUUUCAGAUAAUUUCUAUAUUCAUAUCACUAUGAUCUCUGAUAGGAUAGUUUCUUUGCUUCAUAUUUUUUUAACAUUAGGAAUGGUGCAUGGCAAAAAAAUCUGAAAAACCUGAUCUGGUACACCUUCAAAUCGAAUAAUCACACAUGGUCAACAUCCUAACAGAAUCAUUGUGUACAGAUAGCUGCUUUUACUUGGAAGUAAAGCUGAGGAUGAAGAUGUACUUUAGAGGAAAUGAAACCCUGUAACGAUAGAUGAGUAGAAGAUGCUAAAGGGUGUUGCACGAAUAUGCUAGAAAUGCUAAUAGGACUAGCAAAAUUUUGUUUGUUUUAAUAGUUCAGAAUGAUAAUGAUCUGUUGUUACUUAGCCUGUAAACCUUCCUUGCGCCACUUUGUAAAUAACAACAAAUUAGUACUACAAACAUCUUUAUCAUUUGGUUUUGCUGCAAAGCAAUCAUUAUGAAGUUUCUAAAAUGUGCUUCCAUCCACAGGUUUGAUCCUGAAACGGGACUCUUGACUCGUUAUUUGAAAAGUGCUCAUAGAAGGCCAAUUGGAUCAGGCUCAUUUUUCCCAAGGACGAGUUGGAAAAACAUCUCUUGUGCUGUGGUAUGUGAAUAAUGUCUUCUCAGACAAACAUGAAGCAACAGUUCAAGCCUCUUAUUUGACAAAACGCCUUGUUGUUGAAGAUCCCUUUUCUCUGAUGGAUAUGCUGAUAUUCAAAGCUGUGGAAGAGCAGGUCAAGAAGAGGGUAGCGAAUAAGGCAAGGAUCUUCGAGCAGAAUGCCACUGAUAGUGAGUGCAAGGUCGAUCCUAAAGUGCUCUCCAAGCUAUAUGAUCAGUGGGUGAUGCCACAGACCAAGGAUGUCGAAGUUGAGUACCUCCUGCGUUGUCUUGACUAAUCACCGAUUAGCUAUAGCUAUAAAUUUUAUGUAUGCAUGGUUUCAGUUGCGCUCGAACCAAUUGUCUCGAUCUUGAAUGGACAUUUUGAUGUUUAUUUCAUGAAUGUUCAGGUCAACGGCAAGAGAAACCAAUUGCGUUGUAUGAGUUUUAGAUCAUAACUCAAGUUUUUUUGUA